CUGUUACACGCAAAAAAAUCCGUUCCGAUAUACGUGAACUCCCAAUCACGGCAACGAGAACAAACGGGAACUAUGCAUAGCAACGAUAACAACAAUAAGAAAUGUACACCGUGAACUAGAUGUCACGGUAUCGAGAACGCCCAUAUUGACAGCUGGAACUAGUUCCAGUUCACGGUGUAUAUUUGCUUGUUCUCAUAUUCGGGAUUGUUUGUUCACGUUUAUCAGAACGGUUUUCUGAGCGUGUACUAAGCAAGAGGACAGCACUUUAAGGCUUUACGGAGCGUUAUCAAAAUCAUCAAUCAUUGCUCUCAAACUUUGAACACGCAAAUCUCGAGUGCUACUGCAUGUAAUUGGCUGGAAAAUUGAUCGUUUGUAUGCUUACAUGUGAUGAACAAUCGACUAAGUUUUCAGUUAGGUCAGUCAACUGGAACUAGAAAUUUGCAUCGUCAAAGUUUCGAGGGUAUUGAUGAAGAAAGAGAAGAAAGAUAGCAAAGUUGACACGGUGUCCUAUAUCACUUUAAUCUGCGUCCUUUUCUUUUAAAAACCUUAAACAUCGAUCGUAUCUGAUUCUUCUUCUUCUUCUUCUUCUUUACAGCUCGACGUCCACACUGGAAUUUGGCCAGCCUUGCUUCAACUUAGUGUUCCUUGAGCACUUCCACAAUUUCCAAUUUAAAGGCGUUCUUUGCCUGCCAUUGCAUGAAUUUGUAUAUUGUGAGGAAAGUACAAUGAUACACUAUGCCCAGGGAGUCGAGAAAAUUUUCCUGACCGGAACGGGAAUUGAACCCACCGUCUCCGGAUUGGCGAUCCAUAGCAUUAAUCACUAGGCUAACUGGAGAUCCCUAUCUAAUUUUCCUUGUUUCCAUCAAAAAAUAUAAUGAGACGUUGAGGCUAUGGUAAAAAAAAAAAUCAAGGAUCGCGGACUUUGGAGACACUCCCAAUUCGCCUUAGAGAAUACGUAGUGUAUGGACGGGCCCUAAUUUAUUGAAUAAUCUAUAUAUACAGGGGAUAGACAAAAUGAUCGGGACAGGCAAAAUUUUCCCUUCUCAAAAAAAAUUCAAAUGGCUGUAACUUUUCGAAAAGUACAUCAAAUAUUCUCAAAUUUUGACUGUAAGUAGAUCAACUAUUUGUGUAUCAGUGGACAGAAUUUGGAAAGAUCGAACCUUUCUGCACGAAGUUAUAAAGAUUCUAAAAAAAGGUAUAAUUAUCCGAUAGCCAACUUUGAGCUGUUACAUCUCCGGAUUCAAUGAACCGAAUGCAUUGAAAUUUAGACCAUUUAUGACUUAUAUAAUGAGCUUUGAAAAACUUUCGGCAUAACUUAAAAUUCUUAAUACGGAGGAAAGUUAUAACGAUAAGAUUAUUUUUCUAAUAAAACACCAAAUUAUCCAAAAUUUUAACAUCGUUUCAAAAUUCAAGAUGCUUAUAAUAGUUCAUUUAAUUUCCCUCUGAUUAUCUUAAAUACAGAUAUGUUUUGAAAGAAAAUAGCAACAUAGGCGGCAAUUCAUUAAAAAAGUAAUGGGAUGCAUAUUAAAAAUAGACCAAUUUUCUUAAAAAUCAUAAAAUCAAUGAAAUCGCUAUAUUUUUUUCUUUUGUCAUAAUUUCAAGUUUAGUCAAACGUUUUUCAGAGCUCAUUAUAUAAGUCAUAAAUGAACAAAAUUUCAUUGCAUUCGGUUUUUUGAAUUCGGAGAUAUAACAGCUCAAAGUUGGCUAUCGGAUAAUUCUAUCUUUUUCUAAAAUGAUUAUAACUUCGUGCAGAAUAGCCCGAUCUUUUCCAAAUUCUGUCCACUGAUACACAGCUAGUUUAAUAACUUACAGUCAAAAUUUGAGAAUAUUUGAUGCACUUUCCGAAAAGUUACAGCUAAUUGGACAUUUUUUUGAAAAGUGACAAUUUGGCCUGUCCCGAUAAUUUUGUCUAUCUUCUGAUAUAUAAAUGAAUUUCUAUCUGUCUGUCUGUCUGUCUGUCUGUCUGACCCUUAUGGAUUCGGAAACUACUGAACCGAUCGCCGUCAAAUUUUGUAUGCAGAGGGUUUUGGGACUGGGGCAGGUUCUUAGCAUGGUGUGAGACCUCUCAGGUCUCUGGAACGGGGGGCUCGCAUACAGAUAACUUCGCGGAGGACGUCAAAAAACACAGUAUGCAGGCAGUACGACGUUUGCCGCGACAGCUAGUCUAUCUAUAUAUAUAUAAAAAUGAAUUUCUGUCUGACCGCUAUGCAUUCGGAUACUACUGAACCGAUCGGUGUGAAAUUUUGUAUGUGGGACCGGGGAAGGUUCUUAGCACUUCUAAGCUUGGUGUGAGACCUCUGGAACGGGGGGCUCCCAUACAAAUGAAACAGAAAUGAGCUGAGAGAAAGGCUCAAAACUCAAAACUCAAGUAACAAAACCAAUCUAGCGUGCAAUCAAAUUUGAAUUGCCAAUUGAGUGUUUGCCUAAAAAGACAAGGUGGGGCAAACACGGCAGUGGCUGUCCAGGUGGGCCCCAAUAGCCGCAGAGAAAAGGCCGGGGGUUUCCGACCCACGGGGUGUGACAACGGCUUCGUGGGUGAACAACGGCGGAAGACAACGGCGAGACGACAACGGUGAUAGCUGGCAAGGUUGGUGUCGAUAGCCACCGAGAAAAGGCUGUGGUUUCUAACUCCCGUGGUGUGUCGAUUUCGCCCCGAGAAAACAGGCCCGGGAGGACCGGGGGCUGGGUAACUGGCUUGAGAGGGCUACCACCAACCGGCAGGUUUCUAAGGAAACGAUUUCCUAGGAAUGAGUGAAACAUUCAUUGGGGAAUCCAUAACUUCUCAAAUGAAGACUUAUGGGUGAUACGCAGAACGCAAUAAAUUCCUUGGCCUAUCUCGAUGCGUGGGAAAUUCAGGCAAGGAAACGCUCAAGAAAUAAUAAAGCGUUGCUUUAUUCCUGAUCCUAGUACGGAGCUGAAACGAAACGUCAAAUCAAAUGGGGCUUGCUGUGUUAAAUUUCUUGACCAUUCCGGUCACGGAAAAAUAAUGCACUGAACGAAAAUUACUGGAGCGAUUCCGUUUGAAGUGAAUACCUCGCAUUAUGAAAGACUUUAUGUAGUAACAUCUGAAUCUAAAUUGGGAUUUUGUAACUUGUUUCAAAAUACUUUUAAGGCAGAGAAUUUCUCUCAAAUCUUUAAGCUGUCAGUGUCAUUUUAACUCAAAAUUUUCCAAUCUUUCCGAAAAAAAUACUUUUGAAACUGGAGAAACACGGAGUACAUCCGGAAAGGGCUAAAACUUAUUAAGUUAUCAAAAAAAUCAAUAUUAAAUUAGUAAUAUCUUCUAAACGGUGCAUCUUAGAAAAAUGUACUUAGAAAAAUGUACCGAAGUACUUUUUGCUUGCAAAUUUGAUGUUCUUUCAUAAAAUUAGGGCGACAAACUUUUUUGACUUUUCUUAAUAGCUUUUUUUGAAAACCGUAAUUUUUUAAAACAUUUUUUUUAAUUGUAACCUAUUUUUCUCCAGAACAACCCACUGUGCACUAGAUAGCAUUUUCAGUCAGCUAUAACAUAAGGAUAAUAAAAAAAUAUUGACAUGUCACUUUUGAGGGAAAAUCUAUAUUUUAGUUCAAAUCACAAAAACCAAACAUUUUUUUUACCGUGCAUAUGUUCUCCAUGCAUAUAUGCAUAUAGAACCAACAAAACGUCGAAAGACAAAACGUCGAAUGCCAAAACGUCGAAUGCCAAAUGGUCGAAUGCCAAAACGUCGAAAGGGACAAAACGUCGAAAACGAGUAAUCUAAGCAAAUAGUGAGUUCUUUAUUCUUUUAAGGGAUUCUCAUUCUUUCACUUGUAUCUGCCAACUAGUUCAGAGGGGAGCCUUCCUGAGGCUCCCUGAAACAACACGUCAGGGUGGGCAUGUUUCUUGGCCAGUUCUUCGCGGGUAGGGAAUAUUCGCACUGUCGUAUAUAAAAACUCACAUCACGUCAUGUUAAGUGUAACAUUAUUUACUCCCGCAAUCUCCCGGCCUUUUCUUCUCUUACUUCUUUGGAGCCCCUUCUACUGGCACCCAGUGUUCCAAUUGAACUAAACGCGAGCCAAAAAUGAACUCAGCUUGGAUGUGUCAUCAAAUCUUAUGUGCAUCCUGACCAAGGUGCUGCCCUAGGACGCAUCUGCAUACAUGCGUUGUUGCGCGAAAAUAUGCGCCACAAUGAAGUGGGAUAUUUUGGCAUCGAGCAUUAAGCUUUUGCAGCAAAAUCCGGAUUUUCCGGUAAUCCGUGACCAAACCGGUUCCCCUCUCAAUUGAGGGUGAGUUUCUGAAUCGAAUUAGCCCAAGAUUGCUAGAGAAUUAGUGAAAAAAUGGUAGAAACAUGACCAUUUCAGUUUAUCAGGUACCAGGGUACCAUGUUGGCAUUCUGCGGGUGCAGCUCUUGUUAAAGUUGCGUUCACUUUCGAGCUCUCGUGCGUUCCAAAUUGUGAACUGAACAAUGUUCAAAUAUUUUUGAUCGCAGCGUGCCGUUUUCGAACUUCAACGCAAAUUGAUCGCGUUCAAAUGCAUCACUGCGAGUGGCACCUUCCACAAAUUUUUAGCAUUACGCCAUAGCUUCGUUCAGAGUGGCUACGAUGGCGGCCUCUAGCUAUCGUCGCCGGAUCUCUGGCACCUUUAGGGUGGCGAUGUCGAUCACCGGGCGCAUUGUUCCUUCAAGGGCGUCUGAUGUUGAUACGGCUGUCCUUUGCCGCAAUUCAUCCGGUAUUCCAGAAUAUGGUACUUGCACAACAAUGCCAAGUAUCCACACAAUAAUCUUUACACAGCUGGUGGUUUCAACUCGGGUCUGAAUUAUCAUAGAGUGCAAAAUGAGUCACUGACCUUCAGCGCUUGGGCAGUGACCCGAGAUAAUGAGACAUAAUGAGUGUGUCCCCGUUAAUUAGUUCGUCAUCCUGCCAUCUUGGUGGAUCUACCGUAUCGCCACCCCUCUCAGGCUAUCAACAGAAUUAAAUCGAUCUCCACAAAAUCUCAAAAAAAAAAAGAAAUCCACGCUGAACUGCGAACAGUUACACACUUUUCGACGUUUUGUCCUUUCGACGUUUUGUCCCUUCGACGAUUUGUCCUUUCGACGUUUUGGCAUUCGACGUUUUGGCAUUCGACGUUUUGUCUUUCGACGUUUUGUCACCCAUUCGGUUGAACACGCCGACGAGACGCCUCUGCGAAAAUUCCUCUAAGCUCUAAGGGUUGCUUCAGAAAUUGCUUCAGGGGUUUUUGGUCCACUAACAUCUUUCAGUCAUUUUGCAAGAAAUUCUUUCAAGACAUCUCCAGUAAUUCUGCCACGGUUUGCUUCAGAACUCCCUCUAGAAAUUUAUUGAGAGAUUUAUUCAGGAAAUUUUAUCCUCUCCAGGGAAUUCUUUGAAAGUUCUUUCAGGGAACCCUUGAAUAUUUUCUCCAGUAUUCUUUAUGUAAUUUCAUUAAAAGAAUUUCUAGAGGCAUCUCCGAAGGAACCCCAGGAGAUAUUUCUGAAGGAACCACAAAAAAAAUCCAAAAAGAAACCUUCUAGAGAUUUUAUUCCGUAAGCCCUGGCGAAAUUUUCAUCGGUUUCUUGAAGGAACCCUUGGAAGAAUUUCCAAAAGAAACUCAGUUAAAACAAAUAGUCUGUAUAGAUGAAUUUCUGAGAACAAAAAUCCAUGGAUUUUUUGUGAAGAAAUCUCUUGCUGUCAUUCAUGAAAUAUUUCUUAAACUACUGAAAGAGUCUCAGGAGAUAUUUCUGAGAAGAUUCCUGAAGCAGUUCUAGUUUCUAAUUUCUAAGGCAAUUCUUUGGAGAUAUUUUUGUUUGAUCCUUGGAGGAACAUCUGAAAGAAUCUCAGGAAAACUCCUGAACAGAGUAUAUGUACGCACAAAUUUCAAUAUGAGAUUGAGAUAAGUUGGCUGUGAGUACAUACAAAUUCCCUGAGCUUGAGACUCGCGAUGUUGGUGCACAUCACAUUAGCAUUGCGAGUCUCAAUGAGACAUCUCAAUGAGACAAGCUCCAGGUACAACUUGGUAUAGCCCCAAUAUCGCACCGGUUUGAUGCACUCUCGAACCCUUCACAAGGAUGACACUUCCAGAUGAUGUUUAGCUGGGAUUGGGUUGACUUUCCGGGGGUGGAAUACAGUCGGAGAUUAUUUUAUAUCUGGAAUGAUGGUAAGAGGAACAAUCCAGGCAAAGGCGUCUUCCCCCACCACCGCCCCCAGCGGGGUCGAAAAAUAAAUGUUAUAAAAAAAAGAUGUAAAUGAUUGUUAUGGUCAAUAAUAUGACCCACAUAGGCAUGUUAAACGUGUAGUGUGAAGAUGGGAAGCUUUGAUGGGGGAUGUAGGUUUCUAAUAAAUUCAAUAUAAUUUGAUAACUUGGCCCCAUUAUAUCCACUUAUCCGCGAGCCGUAAUGGUCGUGCUGCGUACAAGCGAGCGGUUACGAUUUUGACGUUUGAUGCGGAUAGCAGCUGAUUGGCUUCACCGAACAGUUGACGAAGGGGUGAGGAGGAGAACCGAACCGCUUCGAUUUUUCCCAAAGAAACGUAAAAAUUCGAAUCGCUUGUACCCAACGCCGCCAUUACCAAACACGCGAAUAAACGGAGUCAAUCCCCGGAUAAUUAUUUAUUGAUCUGGGUAUUUCUGCCUCAAUUCUGGGAAGGGAUCAUGUUCACAUGAGACGAGUCUCACGAGACGUCUCAUUGAGACACAUACACUAGAAUUUUCAUGAGCAUGCUAUGAUCUCAAAUCUCACAAAUUUUCCUGAAACGCAUUUCAAACCAGCGCAUGGCACACUGUCUCAUUCAGGUAUACAUGAGCUUUCAGACACUCUGAUCCUGAAGGACUUUUAGAAGAAGUUGUUGAAUAAAAUCCUGAGAGAAUGCAAGAAGUCCUGGAGAAAUCCCAGAGAAUUUCAUGAGCGCUUCAGAUUGUUUUAACAAUUCCGAGUAAAAAAUCCUAAAGGUAUACCUGGGGAAAUACUUGGUGGAAUACCUGGACCAACUUCUGAAGGAAUCUUUGUAUGAAUUUCUGCAAAAAUCUUUAGAGUGAAAUACCUGCCAGGGCAAGUGCCCCUUCUUUUAUCUUUCUUUUUUUUUCUUUCUAGUAUUCAUUUACGAAAGUGAGUGAGAAAAAAUAAAAAGCAGUGCACGGUAGAGUGGAUUUACUGAAAAAAUCGUGAAUGAACAUCCAGGCAUUCCGGAGACAUAACUUCGGCAAUUUUCAAUAAAAUCUUUGGAAAAAUCCUAUGAUGAAAUAUCUGGAAGAGUUCAUAAACAAAUAUAUGUACGUAUUACUGAAGGAAUCCUUGGAAUUUUUUUUUGAAGUAAUCGCUGGAAGUAUUUCUGUAACCCCUAGUCUUCAGAUGUAUCGAAGACAUACCAGGAUUUUUUUAAGGAACCCCUGGCGAGUUUUCUAUAAAAAGAAUCCUAUAAAUAUUCUAAACAUACUAGAGAAAAUUCAAAUAUACUAUAUUAACAAUAUCACUUCAUGUUUUUACAUACAACGACAUGGAGACACCACACUGAAGGAAAACUUCAUCCUUCAAACGAAUGCAACAUCAUUCCCAACAAUCCGAAAUAGGAUUCACCCGUAUUCGAAUGAUUGCUGCAACUGAAUGACAAGUCACGACGAAAUCGAAUGAUUACGAAUUGAAUGCCAUCUCUCAAUCACGACGCUUCCCGGAUGAACCAUCAUUCGGAAAACAAGUGAGAACAAAUCGAACGUGACGUGAAUCCGUUUCGAACUGAAUGAUGAUUGCAUCAUGCGUGCCCCACACGCUAAGGUCAGUUUACCCAUAAAUAGGUAGUUAAUUUACGCAUAUUUGGGUUUUGCAUGCAUAACCCAUAUUAUGGGUAAAAUAUACCAAGAAAAAUCGGCAAAGUUUACUCAUAUUAUAAGUAAAGUCGCUUAACUUAAAUAUGGGUAAAGGCACUUUACCCAUAUUUGGAUGAAAAAUUGAAAACAUUGACAAAAAAAAAAUCAAGCAUCAAAAAGCGACGAAGUUUUAAAUUUGAAGUUUGGUUUGCUCUUGGAGAUAGCAAAAAGAAAUCCUCGAAGGAAGGUAAAAGAUAUCGGCCCACGCUAUGUCUGAACCAGCAGAUUAUAAAAAUUGCAUGUACAUCGGGUUUCUUUCCAUAAAACAUCAGUAUUCAAGCUAUAUUUUCAUUUGCAGAAGGUUUUAAAAUAUUCUAUCGGGGAAAUUUUGAUUUUCCCAUCUUUUUGACCGUUUUUCAUACAAAUUUGCUUGAAAUCCUCAUUUUCGGUCAAUUUCUCUCCCAUACAAAAUGUAUGGAAAAAUUUUCCCCGAUAGAAUAUUUUAAAACCUUCUGCAAAUGAAAAUAUAGCUUGAAUACUGAUGUUUUAUGGAAAGAAACCCGAUGUACAUUCAAUUUUUAUAAUCUGCUGGUUCAGACAUAGCGUGAUCGGGUAAGUUAAAAGAUUUCUUUGAGAACUAAAGGAUUAAUUUAUUUUAUUCUAUUAAAGGACACAUAUACCUAAAUGACGGUCUGCAGAGCAGAAACAUUCUGUAAGCGGAGCUAUUCCCGGUGUUCCUGCUACCAAACCCAACAAGAUGGCCGUGCAGCGAGACAUCAUUGGCUCCGGAUACCAAUACCGUGGAAUUUCAUGCGAUCAACCGGAGCAUUAUAAAUAGACAACUGACGAUACAUUGGGACUGGUCAAAACGCGUAGAACCGGACAACCAAUCUUUUUUGGCAAUGGCACCAUCUUCAGGACAGUGGAACACUCAUCUAGAUUGCUUGCUGUAGGCGGUGAACUUGCUUUGAAGUCUGCAAGAAACACAGUGUGAAAGUUCACCGGUUCCCCGGAAAGCUUUCAAAGUCUGGAAUAUUGGUGAGUUAACGCAACACGGCAUUAUUGGCGCAAGUACGACACUAAUCGUAAUUAUAUUUCAGUCGAUCUGCUGCCUCCUAGUGAUCUCCGAUGCAACACCCUGAAAGUAUGCUCUCUCUGGAAGGCGAUUACCCAGUAUGAUUACUGCCGGGUGAUUACAGAGCAGUGAUUGCUGCCAGGAUAAUAUAGCCAACGUUCCAGCUCUUUCGGCCACAAAUAAGCAAUUUCUUGCAUUGCCAAAUAAACUGAAGGGAACAGCAUAUUGCUUAUCCAGAGAAAUCUUCCAACCUGGCGGAGUGAAGAAGACAAAGAAGACCUGUUCCGCAAACGUCAAACUGCUGCGCACUUCAAAAAGUAUGCACACAACCUUGAAACAAAAAUAAAUAGUUGAAAAUCUAAUCUAAAUUAUGUUUAAUGGCGUACAGCUGCAUACUAAAGUGCUAAAACUACACCUAAUAUAGUUUAGAAAUAAGUUACAUGUUGUGGCAGCAAUUGCCAUUACAUAAACCAUAAAUGAAACAAUUUUCAUUAUUUUUGAAUUUUAUGGCAACCAAGUGAGUGAGAGCUUUUUAGCGUGAACCGAGCACGUUGACGUUUGCGGAACGACUGCGGCGGUCGAAACCACCGCAACCCCGUUGGAUUUUUUCUAUUUUACCGCAAUAACUCCCACCCAGAUCCUCACCGAGAUGAUUAAAAUACAGCGAAGGCGCCGCAUGAGAUCGCUUUUUAUACGAUAUGUAAAUUCGAUGUAAAUACUUCUUACUUUUGUUGAAAUAAAUAAAAUUGAAUGAUAUCGAUUAUUCAUAUUUUUCAUUGGAUAUAAAUAGUUGUUUCUGAAAAUUAAAAAUAUUAUGCCUCUCAAGAAAAAUCAGAAUAUGGCGAUUAUCUUCCUCUGGCUUCUGAUAUCAGCGCGACAGUCACUAAUCAUAACAGCGUCACCAGAUUUAAAAGUAUGUAAUUCCACUAUAUGGGGUUUGACAGCAAGAACACUCAUUCCACUGAACUACUCUUGCCGUUCGUCACAAAUACAUUCUAAAACAUCUAUCACUUCGCGAAACCCACGUGCUUUUGUUUUUGGCGGGAACACUUUUUCUUUUGUUUUGCCUUGCGACUGUCAUGCGGCGGUAUGCCUUGCGAGCGUACGACCGCCGCAGAACUCUAAUAAAAGAUAAGCGCGACAAUAGAACAUUUACUCAAAUAUGGGUAACAUUUACCCAAAUUGAAAAACGCAUAUGUGAGUAAAAUUCACCUAUAUUAUUCUCAGACGCAUCAUACCCAAAUAUGGGUAAUGUGGCUUUACCCAUAAAAUGAGGUUGUGCACUUUUCGCCGAUUAUGAGUAAACUUUACUCAUAUUUAGGUAAACUGACCUUAGCGUGCACAACGCAUAUCAGUCAGUUCACAUAAGCAUCUCCCGUUGGUAAUCGGAUGUUGUUACACACACCCCGCGUGCGCGGAUCAAGCUUGUUGCUGAUCGAGUUUCGGCAGCCAUUGUUAGUAAUGCAGCACCAGAACCGCUCCAGGAGUUUUCAAUUUUCAACCGAUUUCCGCACUCCAAACAAAACGAAAAAAAAAAACAGGCGAGAGUAGAGGCAAAUAUUUCAUAAUGGCGAAAACAAAACACUGAUUUUUUUCGGAAUAAAAUUUUUCAAUAUAAUCUAAAUAAAAUGUGUGGGAUUAUGCUUGAAUCACAUGCUGACUUGCUUUUAGCAUGAUAAAACGGUGUCAGAAUCAAUUUUGCGAACGAAAAUAGAUAUUUUCUUGGUUGGCCGUUACGUCCUUCUAAUGGUACUAAAAUUGAAUAGAGGGUAGGCGCAAUUUGUUCCCAGUUGACAGCCAGCUUACUCCCCUGGUUUGGAUGUGUGGAGACUGUUACCGCGCUUUCGCAAAUGGAAAGAACGAUCGUGUGUAGCCGAAACACCAAAGUGCACCGAAGCUGUAUCCGAUGAUACAUCUAUAUUGCAGACUACAUCUCAAAUUGGACUACCGUAUUACCCCGCUAAUACGACACCGACUGUUGUCGAAUAACCGGGGUAAACUUUUAAUUCGACAAACUGGUCAGCCUACACCAAAAUGCUCAUUAAAUUUUGGCAACUCUAUUUUUGUUUUUGUUUUGAUUUCCGGAUUUGUUAUGAAACAUAAUUUCAACAGAUAUUGCGGUGGUGCGUAUGAAAAGCUCGUUCUUUCUACGAUUGCUGCCAUCCUCAGUUCAUUCCGGUUGGUCUCCAGGGGUUUUGGGUGUCGAAUAGCACCAACUCAGAACUUCCGGAAUUAGCUGCUGCAAGAGGUGCUGCUGCGGGUGCGAGUAUAAGUGCAAUAUCAAACUGUUUUGCAUUUACAGUGUACAUCGAUGUGACAUUCGAACACUUUUUAAUUCGACAUGUGUCGAAUAAGCGGGGUACGAAUUAAAAAGUGUCGCAUUAAAACGUGUCGAACCAACGGGGUAAGACGGUAUCACACUUUUUUUGGUACGCCUAAAAAGUGUGAUAAAAGUGCACAUUUGCAUCGGAUCGUCUCGACGUCUUCGGUGCACUUAUUCCUCCAUUUACAAGGAAUAAGUGCACCGAAGACUUCAACUCGAUCCGACGUGUCCUUGCGCUGCAAUCACACUUUGAAGGUGUGUGCACACUAUUGUGUCAGUCCAAUUUGGGGUGCAGUCAGCAAUACCUACAUGACGAAAUUGCUGAGCUGAAAAUGCAAGUCGCCGAAAUAUUGCAAACUAUGGCAUCAUCCUCGUCAACGGUUGAUGUAUCUAUUAAUACGACACUUCAUCACCCUGCACCAUUUUUGUCCUCGGCGCUUAUCAAUGGAACGAACAUAAGUUACGAAAGUUCAAGUUUAUGGUCUGAGCAGAUCAGUGUGCAUUGACCAUAUUGCUAUAGAAGUGUAAACAACGCUAUAUCUCUACAUAAUAGUGAUCAGCGAGUGUCUCUGUUCUUAACAAAUAUUGACAGUAUGGUAUCCGAAGCAGAAGUAAAAAUGAUGGUAUGUGAAUGCGUUGGUGCCCCAGUAGAUGAUUGUUAUAAGACAGCAAAAUUAGUUUCCAAAGAUGUUGAUGGUAGAACGAUUGACUGCGUAUCAUUCAUGGUAGAUUUGAAUGUUAAGUGGAAAGAAAAAGCCUUAGAUGCAGCAACAUGGCCAUGCGGUAUAAAAUUUCACCAAUUUGUGAAUAGGACUUGGAAACCAUCUUAAAACCGUAAAAUCUUCCGCAUUUCUGUUUUCCUUAAGUAAUGUAAACUCGUUUUUCGUUUGUAAGCUGUCGAUUGAACAUGUUCUUAUGUUCACGCAAAGAAUUCCAAUGAUUUUCUUUAUAUGUUGCGACACAUACUCUUGUGGAAUAGUUCAUUCAGUACACUAUUAGGAUGACAUAUACCCUUAAUAUAACCCACACAUAAUAUUGAAAUGUUGUUCCAUUUUGAAUUAUGUUUAAAAUCUAAUAGUUGAAAUCUAUAACAGUUCACACAUAAAUUUAUUGUGUGAGCAACUGGGAUGAAUUUCUGUUGAGAAUGAACUUUGUUUUGAUUUUAUCAGACAAAAGAUCAAACGAACUGAAAACGUGGCGCGGUAUUCAAAGCAAAGUUUUAUGUCUUCAGAGAAUGACAAAGCUGAAAGCGGAUGGACAUAGGCGAAAGCUCCACUGCAAACUGUGUAACGGCUGUACAGCACAAUUGAUCCUGUAUUCGGUUGGAACCGCCACCACGCAUAUAGCUCUUCGGAUUUGCAGAAUCUUAACCUGAAUCUUAGAGAAUUUCACUGUAACACCAUUGAAUCCGAGAUCAAAACUAUAGCGAGCAGGUGUGAAAUCAUCCAGGUGGCUCCUCGCAGCUAAUCGAUACGGCGGAAGUCACCGAACGCAGUACAGUAGUGAUGCGGACAAAUCGGACAAAAACGCUCUCCACAGCGCAGUGGAGGCAGUGCGCUGUGGAUAUUUACCACCAUGUUUUUCAUUGAUGUAUUCUAUGUGAUUGAUAAUAUGUAUCAAGCCAGAAAUGAAUAAAUUUUGAAAAAUACAACAAUUUUUGAUUACAUGAAAUACGAAACAAUAAAUAAUUAGAAAACAUUAAAUCAAACAAAUAAAUCGUAACGGACCCACAAUAUGAGAUGUAUAAUCGUGGAUAUAUGAUAUUCAAAAGAGCCACACAUAUUUUCAAUAACCCAAGAGUUCAUCCUCAUGUAUGUGUCUAGCAUAUAUGGUAUAUUUGUGAAAUCUAAUUGUAAAAAUCUAUAUAGGCUGACACAUAACAUCUAAAUGGAAUUUUUUCUCAGUGUUGAUUAUGUUUGUAUGUAUUGUAUAAAGCAAAGCGUUUUUUCUUACUUUUAAGUCAUUCAAUUAGACCAAUAUGUGGUCCGUUAUUAAUCAUAAAUAAAUAAAUAAAUCCAGGCUCGUUAGUUGGAGGUAUGUCCAAAAUAUGUGCAGCAUAAUCAGACGGGGACAUAUUUUGUCCCACCUGUCAAAUUCAACUCUACAGUUCCUUCUAAUGCGAGGGAUGCUCUUCAAACGAAAUCGCUCAAGUAAUUUUCGUUCAGUGCAUUUUUUCCGUGACCGGAAUGGUCAAGAAAUUUAACACAGCAAGUCCCAUUUGAUUUGACGUUUCGUUUCAGCUCUAUAAUAGGAUCCCGAAUAAAGGGACGCUUUAUUAUUUCUUGAGCGUUUCCUUGCCUGAAUUUUCCACGCAUCGAGAUCAGGGGAGUAAGCUGGCUGUCAACUGGUUUUCUCCCCAGCCCAUAAAAAAACAGUACUUUCAAUUUUGUUACUUUUUUAGAAUUUUUUUAUGUCUAUAUUAACGAGAUUUUAAAUUUAAACCCUAGGCUAGUUCAUCUCGGGACCCACGCUUUACUUCCCUUCCGAAGGAAGAACCUACAUUUUGUGAGUAUGUCGGGAGUGGUCCUCGGCGUGAUAGUCUUGUGUUCUAAUCACCACACCAGGUCCGCUUCAUUUUUUUAGAUGAUUUUCGCAACUUUUUUGCUUAUAAACACGGUCACAAUGAAUACGAAUCGAUUCGUUCAAGAGUCAUGCUGAUUGGUUCAUCCGUUCAUGAGUUUUGUGGCUUCAAAGGGACAUGACUCAACAAAACAAAACUCAUUUUUAUAUAAACGGGGUGUUUGUUUCCGGAGUGCAGAUAUUUUUAGGGUGAAUAGGUCUCCAUGAGUUAUGAAAAAGUGCCCAAGGAACAUGGGGUCGGAAAUCACUGCUAAGUGAGUUAAUCACAUUUUAAGUUUUUUAAUUUAGCUCAUCUUUGAAACCCUCUAUCUACUAAACUAUCAGUCGUACCAUCAAUGUCAACGCUCGAAUUGAAAGCUAAUGACUUCUACUAUCUUAGCCUCUUGGACGUGAAUUUUGUAAAAUUAGUCUAAAAGGCUUUAAUUUUCAAAACAUUGCAAAACAUGUCGAAAAAAACAGCCCUUUUUCAGACAUUUUUGAUGAUUUUAAGGCUCAAGCAUUCGUCAUCAUAUUUCGAAAAAUAAAAAAGCAGUUUUCUCGCUGCAAAUCAAAACAAGGAUCAUGAAAAUAUAUUCACUGCAUUAUAUUCCUCAUGUGGAGUACAGUGAAUAUAUUUUCAUAGCAAAAACUUUUGUUUUGAACGAAAAAACUGCUUUCAAAUGUUUGAUGAUGACGAUGAUUGCAAUGACGAAAAGUUCAACGUUAAUAUGAAAACAAAACUUCUGUUAAAAAAGUUCUUCUACAAAACACGCACGAACUUGUUCUCUAAAAAUGUUUCUUUGACAGCAAAACUCUAUCUUUUGUAGAUUAGCUAGAAAAUGAUUUUGAAAAUAUCGCUCCAAAUUGCAUCAACACCAUGCCAAAAUAAUGGCCAUCACCCCAUCCGUUCGUGCGUUCGUGUGAUGUUGCUCUACGGUAUGAGGACGACGGCAGCUGCUGGUGCUGCCGUCGCGAACAGAGAACGAGUUCGCUCUUUGUCGCGUUGUAUCCCCGCCUGAGGAAGAUUUCGAGGCGGAGUGUGGCUUCUGUGCCAUAUUCAGUUUGACGCGCACUAUACACUUGUUUUAGACGGAGCGAAAGCGCUGACAAAAGUGUAUUUACAAGAGCAUCCCUUUAAAUCCUUCGCACUCGUAGCUCUGCUGCGGUGCUGUUCAGAUGGGGAGGUCUAUGCGUGCGGGAAUUUAGAGCAUGCACUAGACACUAGAGAAUGCACUUAUUAAAUGCAUUUUCAAAUGUACUAAAUGUAUUAUGUGUAGCGUUAUUCUUCUUCUUAUUACUGGUAUAACAUCCCUGUAGGGGUUGAGAGAGAUACUGAGAAAAUGAUACGUAGGGCAUAUAGCAUCAGCAGCCGUGAUGCACCAUCAAGAAAACAAAGCAAGCGAUCAGCAUCAAAUGAAACGUUAGUCUUGCAAAGUAUUUCGCACGAGUAGGUUGCAUCAUUGCAUCCUUCCUCGUCUGAGCAGAGUUCCGGCCGGCGGCAUGGCCCGGAAUGCCACAGUGUCCGUCCGGACACGACAAUGGCACAGCCGGUAGGUAAGCUCCCAGCAAAUAAACUGUAUAAAUAAGUGGUUUUCCCAAGGGUGUUCCAUUAAUGUGUGGCAGCAGACGGAUACCAGAAGAAUUUCUUCGAUUUUCUUCUCGUCGCAAAACGAAUCUCGCGCGACAUGGUUAGGAGAAGGUUAGCUUUGUAGUUUCAUUUGUUGGUUGGAGGAGGAGUGCAGAGAGUAGUGGAACGUUGAGUUUGGGUUGUGAUUGUGAUUUUGUUUAUGUUUUUGCAACAAGAGGCAAUGUUAUGAUGACGUAUUUUUAUUGGAGAAAAAUUAGGCAGUCGCUGUUGUUCUUCUGGCAGGAUUGGUUGUUCCAGGUUGCUUUUCUGAACGGGAUACGGGAAAUGUUUUGUGGACUUUAUUUUGAUAGCAGAGGCAAAAAAAAGGUAGUUUCCUAUUAUGUAUUGGUUUUGAUUGUUGGGUUUGACUAGAUUUUUCCAAUAUUUAUCAAGCAGUUUGAGUUGUCGCUAGCGACUGUGGUUUUAAUUUUGUCUCGUUCAGGGUUUUUGGACCUUGCUGAGAGGCCCGCUGAACUGUUAAGAUAUUUGCUUGGAUAUUUGCUCAAUCAAAAGUAAUAAGUAAUGGUGAGAUAUUGUUUGUCUCGGGGAUAGAUUGUAUAGAUUGCAUUGGGUGGAGUCGUAAAUAAUGUAGGGGUUGUAGGAAUGUAGGAAUGUGUAGGGAUUGAGAGGAAUACCGAGCAAAGGAUAAACAGGGCAUAUAGCAUUAGCAGCAAAGAUGCGCUACCAGAUAAACAAAGCAAUCGAAACAAACGAUCAAGAUGAAAUGAAACUUCAGUCUUGUAAAGUAUUUCGUACGAGUAGGUUGCGUCAUUCGCUAUCUUCCUCGUAGGUGCAGAGUUUCGGUCGGCGGAAUUGGCUGGACCGGAAUGCCACGGUGUCCGUCCGAACACGACAAUGGCACAGCCGGUAGGUAAGCUCCCAGCAAGUAAAGUAAAUUAAUUAAGGGAUUCGUGUGUUUCCUCCCAUCGCGGCGGUGUUUGGCAGCGGUUUGAUGCAGGAUGGUGCAGCAUUUUUCAUCUCAUCGGUGGGGCUCGCGUGGCUGGAUUCUGUGUUGCGACAGUGUUGGUGUAGUAUUUUAGUUAGUUGGCUGGAACAGCGGUGGAACUUCGAGGCUGUAGGUUUGUUUUAUUGUGUUGUUUUUUUACGCAUCAUUGUUUUGAAGGCAUGCAGAGGCGGUGGCAAGCGGAUAACAGGCAAGGUCUUCUUUUCUUGGUGUGCAUCGCAGCUGUGAAUGGAGAACACGAUUUGACCUUCGUCGUUAUUUUAUGCGUGGAGUUCUUGUGUGGCUUUCGGCUUUGGAUAAGCUCUGAGCGGCCGUUACAGCUGUUAUUGUUCUUGACACGGCGUAUACCGGGGAAGCUAGGUUGAAGUAUGAAUCCUAACGAUCCUGCGAACGCAAACCCGAAACAGUAUCAAUAACCUUUGCAUUGUAGUUGUUUUGCAAAGAACUUGUGUGCUUCUUUUCUGUGUUCCAGUAUCGAUUCCUGCAUUCAUGUCUGGUGGUUGAAAAUGUGUGUUUCCCUCUGCUAAAAUAAAUGUAAUUGGCUACUGUCCGGAUUCUAUAGGAGCUGAAACCAUAUAAUCUUACCCGAGAGGGUAGGCCGAUGGUGAAUUCCCCUGAGAGGGUAAGCCAUAAUAAAAAAAGCAAAUUCCCCCGAGAGGGUAAGCUGACGGAAAAUUCCCCCGAGAGGGUAAGCCGGUGGUGAAUUCCCCCGAGAGGGUAAGCCAUAAUAAAAAAAGCGAAUUCCCCCGAGAGGGUAAGCUGACGGCAAAUUCCCCCGAGAGGGUAAGCCGGUAGUGAAUUCCCCCGAGAGGGUAAGCCAUAAUAAAAAAAGCGAAUUCCCCCGAGAGGGUAAGCUGACGGCAAAUUCCCCCGAGAGGGUAAGCCGGUGGUGAAUUCCCCCGAGAGGGUAAGCCAUAAUAAAAAAAGCGAAUUCCCCCGAGAGGGUAAGCUGACGGCAAAUUCCCCCGAGAGGGUAAGCCGGUGGUGAAUUCCCCCGAGAGGGUAAGCCAUAAUAAAAAAAGCGAAUUCCCCCGAGAGGGUAAGCUGACGGCAAAUUCCCCCGAGAGGGUAAGCCGAUGGUGAAUUCCCCCGAGAGGGUAAGCCAUAAUAAAAAAAAAGCAAAUUCCCCCGAGAGGAGAAUAAGGACAAGAGAUGAUGCUGAUCAAAGAUACUGAUGAUGAAAGAUGAGCGAUGAGAGAAAAGAGAUGAGAGAUAAGAAAGAAAAAAUUAUAGAGGAUAAUAAUUAGAAUGACAUGACUGGUAAAGGUUGAAAAAAAAAAAUAAUGCAGUAAAAGUGGCAAAGAAGGUAAUUAAAAAUGAGGAUCAUAUUUAGAACGAAGGCAUCUAUAAGUUGUAGAUACAGUGAAAUGUAAACGAACUGAAAUGAGAAAUAAAUGAUGGGAGAUUAGAGAUGAUGAUAAGAAGAUAUGUGGAUGAUGAUGAUGAUGAUGAUGGUGAUGAGAGAUGAAAUAUGAGACAAGAUGAUGCUGAUGGGAUGAAAGAUGAGAAAUGAGAGAUUACAGAUGAAAGAUGAGAAAUAAAAGCUGAGAGAUGAAAGAUGAGCGAUGAGAGAUAAGAGGUGAGAGAUGAGAAAUUAAAGUUGAGAUAUGUGUGAUGAGAGAUGAGAGCUGAGAGAUUAAAGAUGAGGGACUAAAGAUGAGAGAUGGUAGAUGAGAGUUGAUGAUGAUACGAGAUAUUGAUGAUAAUGAUGAUGAUUAUGAUGAUUAUGAUGGUGGUGAUGACGAUAAGAGAUGAGAGACGAUGAUGACGGGAGAUGACAGAAGAGAGAUGAGUUCCGCAUUACUGUGCUAAAGGUUAAAAAAACAGAUGUGAAAAUGUCUUGGAAAAUGCAAUAAGUGACAAAGACGGGGGUUGGAAAUGAGGAUAACUAGUCCUAUACACAGCGACUGACAGCUGAUGGCCGCGACUAGCAAAGAAGAAGAAGAAAUGAUGAUGAUUACGAUGGUAGAUGGUAGAUGGUAGAUGAGAGAUAAUAGAUGGGAGAUUAGAGAUGAUGACAAGAAGAUAUGUUGAUGAUGCUGAUGAUGAUGAUGAUGAAGAUGAUGGCGAUGCGAGAAGAGAGGUGACAGAUGAGGAACGGAAGAUGAGAAAUGGUAAAUGAGAGAUGAGAGUUGUUGAUGAUGAUGAUGAUGAGAUGAAAAAAAUAAGAGAUGAGAAAUGAGAGAUUACAAAUGAAAGAUGAUAAAUAAGAGAUGAGAGAUGAAAUAUGAGGGAUGAAAUAUGAGAGAAGAAAGAUGGUAGAUGAGAGAUGAGAAAUGAAAGAUAAUAUUGGUGAGUGAUGAAAGAUGAGAGAUAAGCUAGGAGAUAAGAGACAAGAGUUGAGACAUGACAGAUUGCAGAUGAAAGAUGAGAAAUGAGUGAUCAGAGAUGGCAGAUAAGAGGUGAGCGAUGUGAUUGGUAUUACUGUGCUAAUGAUAAUUAUUGAUAAUGAUGAUAGAUGAGAAAUGAAGGAUGAGAAAUGAGAGAUGAGAGCUAUAAGAUGGGAGAUAAGAGAUGAUGAUGAUGAUGGUGGUGAUGAGAGAUGUGAGAUUAAAGGUGACAGAUGAUAGAUAAGUCAUGAGAGAUGAGAGAUUAUAAUGAUGAGAGAUGAAAUAUGAAGGACGAAAUAUAAGAGAUGAAAGAUGGUAGAUGAGAGAUGAGAAAUGAAGGAUGAUAUUGAUGAGAGAUGAAAGAUGCGAGAUAAGUUAAGAGAUGAUGCUGAUAAGAGAUGCUGAUGAUGAAAGACGAGAGAUGGUGAUGAGCAACGAGAGAGAAGAUAUGAGAGAUAAGAAAGAAGAGAUGAUAGGCAAUGAGAUAUGAGGGAUUGGCAUGACUGCGGUAAAGGUAAAAUAUAAGGUAGUAAAUUGACAAAGAAGGUGGUUGAAAAUAAGGAUUUUUGUGAUGGUGAUGAUUGAUAGUAUCGUUUUUAAAACGCAGGCACAGUGAAAUGUAAACGAACUUAAUAAUGUUGAUUGAAAUUGAGGUGAGAGGGAAGAGAUGAACAAUGAGAGAUGAAAGAAGAGGGACGAACGAUAAGAUAUGGUAGAUGAUAGAUGAGAAAUUUAUUUAUUUAUUUAUUAUUAAUUCUUUAUUAUGAGAGAUGAGAAAUGAAAUAAGAUAAUGAUGAGGGAUGAAAGACGAUGAUGAGAAGAUGAGAGUUGAUGACGAGAAAAAAGAAGAAAGAAGAGAUGAUAGACGAUAAUAAUGAGCGAUGAGCGAUUGGUAUAACUGUGGUAAUAAUUAAAAAAAAGGUUAUAAAACUGACAAAGAAGGUGGUUGUAAAUGAGGAUUAUUAUGAUGGUGAUGAUUGAUAAUAUCGUUUUUAGAACAAAGGGAAUUGUAAGUUGUACUACAAUAAAGUGAAAUGUAAACGAAGUGAACAUUGUUAAUUGAAAAAUUUAAGCUUUUAAAAUAAUGACAGAGUAGAACAGGGGGAGAAUGUAGGGAUUGAGAGGAAUACCGAGCAAAGGAUAAACAGGGCAUAUAGCAUUAGCAGCAAAGAUGCGCUACCAGAUAAACAAAGCAAUCGAAACAAACGAUCAAGAUGAAAUGAAACUUCAGUCUUGUAAAGUAUUUCGUACGAGUAGGUUGCGUCAUUCGCAAUCUUCCUCGUAGGUGCAGAGUUUCGGUCGGCGGAAUUGGCUGGACCGGAAUGCCACGGUGUCCAUCCGGACACGACUAUGGGAUUGUAGGAAUGUAGGGGACAAUCCCCAAUGGAACAGAGCCUAUUUCUCAGCUCAGCUGAUAAACAUGCAGCAAAAAUUUGCGGGAUUUCAAGGUUAAUAAUGCUCAAAAGAAAUCUGGGAAAUAAAUUAUUCAUUUUAGAAGAAGUUGGGCGCUGUCCAUAAACAACGUAGACUUUUUUUCGGUCGUCUCAGAACCCCCCCUCCCCCUCGUAGACUUUUGUUCAUACUAAAUUUUCGAAGUUUGUAUGGAGCGUAGACUUUUGCCAGACCCCCCUCCCCCCCCACGUCACCCCUUAGAGUCUACGUAGUUUAUGGACAGCCCCUUGUUGGUUUUUAGAGAACGUUGGGAAUUUUUAAGAGAUAUUGAGGAUGUUAAAGGAAACUUAGGAAUCAUGAGGGUCUUCAUGGGAAAUGAGGCUUUUGUGAAGUCUAAGCAUUAAGUUGGACAUUUGAGGAGAAGUAGGGGAUUUUUAGGGAACAUUGGGGAUUUUUAGGAGAUAUUGAGGAUGUUAAAGGAAACAUGGGAAUCAUGAGGGUCUUCAUGGGAAAUGAUGCUUUUGGGAAAUCUAAGCAUUAAAUUGGACAUUUGAGGAGAAGUCGGGUUUUUUAAGGAAACAUUGGGGAUUUUAAGAGAACGAUGAGGAUUUUUAGGAGAUAUUGAACAUGUUAAAGGAAACUUGGGAAUCAUGAGGGUCUUCAUGGGAAAUUACGCCUUUGUGAAACCUACGCAUUAAAUUGGAUAUUUUAGGAGAAGUCGGGGAUUUUUAGGGAACAUUGGGGAUUUUAAGAGAACGAUGAGGAUUUUUAGGAGAUAUUGAGGAUGUUAAAGGAAACUUAGGAAUCAUGACGGUCUUCAUGGGAAAUGAUGCUUUUGUGAAGUCUAAGCAUUAAGUUGGACAUUUGAGGAGAAGUCGGGGAUUUUUAGGGAACAUUGGGGAUUUUUAGGAGAUAUUGAGGAUGUUGAAGCAAACAUGGGAAUCAUGAGGGUCUUCAUUGGAAAUUACGCCUUUGUGAAACCUACGCAUUAAAUUGAAUAUUUUAGGAGAAGUCGGGGAUUUUUAGGGAACAUUGGGGAUUUUUUAGGAGAUAUUGAGGAUGUUAAAAGAAACAUAGGAAUCAUGAGGGUUUUCAUGAGAAAUUACGCCUUUGUGAAACCUACGCAUUAAAUUGGAUAUUUUAGGAGAAGUCGGGGAUUUUUAGGGAACAUUGGGGAUUUUAAAAGAACGAUGAGGAUUUUUAGGAGAUAUUGAGAAUGUUAAAGGAAACUUAAGAAUCAUGAGGGUCUUCAUGGGAAAUUACGCCUUUGUGAAGUCUAAGCACUAAGUUGGACAUUUUAGGAGAAGUCGGUGAUUUUUAGGGAACAUUGGGGAUUUUUAGGAGAUACUGAGGAUGUUAAAGGAAACAUGGGAAUCAUGAGGGUCUUCAUGGGAAAUGACGCCUUUGUGAAGUCUAGGCAUUAAGUUGGGCAUUUGAGGAGAAGUCGGGGUUUUUUAGGGAACAUUGAAGGUUUUUAGAGAACGAUGAGGAUUUUUAGGAGAUAUUGAGCAUGUUAAAGGAAACUUUGGAAUCAUGAGGGUCUUCAUGGGAAAUGAUGCUUUUGGGAAGUCUAAGCAUUAAGUUGGACAUUUGAGGAGAAGUCGGGGAUUUUUAGGGAACAUUGGGGAUUUUUAGGAGAUAUUGAGGAUGUUAAAGGAAACAUGGGAAUCAUAAGGGUCUUCAUGGGAAAUGAUGCUUUUGUGAAGUCUAAGCAUUAAGUUGGACAUUUGAGGAGAAGUCGGGGAUUUUUAGGGAACAUUGGGGAUUUUUAGGAGAUAUUGAGGAUGUUAAAGGAAACAUGGGAAUCAUGAGGGUCUUCAUGGGAAAUGACGCCUUUGUGAAGUCUAAGCAUUAAGUUGGACAUUUUAGGAGAAGUUGGGGAUUUUUAGGGAAUUUGGGGAUUUUUAGGUGAUAUUGAGGAUGUUAAAGGAAACUUAGGAAUCAUGAGGGUCUUCAUGGGAAAUUAUGCCUUUGUGAAGUCUAAGCAUUAAGUUGGACAUUUUAGGAGAAGUCGGGGAUUUUUAGGGAACAUUGGGGAUUUUUUAGGAGAUAUUGAGGAUGUUAAAGGAAACUUAGGAAUCGUGAGGGUCUUCAUGGGAAAUAACGCCUUAGUGAAGUCGAAGCAUUAAGUUGGACAUUUUAGGAGAAGUCGGGGAUUUUUAGGGAACAUUGGGGAUUUUUUAGGAGAUAUUGAGGAUGUUAAAGGAAACUUAGGAAUCAUGAGGGUCUUCAUGGGAAAUUACGCCUUAGUGAAGUCUAAGCAUUAAGGAUGUUAAAGGAAACUUAGGAAUCAUGAGGGUCUUCAUGGGAAAUUACGCCUUUGUGAAGUCUAAGCAUUAAGUUGGACAUUUUAGGAGAAGUCGGGGAUUUUUAGGGAACAUUGGGGAUUUUUAGGAGAUAUUGAGGAUGUUAAAGGAAACUUAGGAAUCAUGAGGGUCUUCAUGGGAAAUUACGCCUUAGUGAAGUCGAAGCAUUAAGCAUUCUUAGGGAACAUUGGGGAAUUUUAGAAGAUAUUGAGGAUGUUAAAGGAAACUUAGGAAUCAUGAGGGUCUUCAUGGGAAAUGAUGCUUUUGGAAAAUCUAAGCAUUAAAUUGGACAUUUUAGGAGAAGUCGGGGAUUUUUAGGGAACAUUGGGGAUUUUUAGAGAACCAUGAGGAUUUUUAGGAGAUAUUGAGGAUGUUAAAGGAAACUUAGGAAUCAUGAGGGUCUUCAUGGGAAAUUACGCCUUUGUGAAACCUACGCAUUAAAUUGGAUAUUUUAGGAGAAGUCAGGGAUUUUUAGGGAACAUUGGGGAUUUUCAGGAGAUAUUGAGGAUGUUAAAUGAAACAUGGGAAUCAUGAGGGUCUUCGUGGGAAAUAACGCCUUUGUGAAAUCUAAGCAUUUAAAUGGACAUUUUAGGAGAAGUUGGGGAUUUUUAGGAAACAUUGGGGAUUUUUUUUGGAAAGGUUUGGGAUAUUAAGGGAACGUUGAGGAUUUAUAGAAGAUAUUGAGGAUGUUGAAGGAAACUUAGGAAUCAUGAGGAACGUCAUGGGAAAUGAUGUCUUUGUGAAAUCCAAGCAUUACGUUGGAUAUUUUAAAAGAAGGUGUGGAUUUUUAGUAAACGUUGGGAGUUUUUAGAGAACGUUGGGGAUAAUUAGGAGAUAUUGAGGAUGUUUAAGGGAACUUAGGAAUCAUGAGGGUCUUCAUGGGAAAUGAUGCUUCUGGGAAAUCUAAGCUUCGAGUUGGAAAUUGUAAGAGAAGUUGGGGAUUUUUAGGGAACGUUGGGGAUUUUGUGAGAAUGUUGGGGAUUAUUUGGAAAGGUUUGGGAUUUUAGAGAACGUUGCGGAUUUAGGGAGAUAGUGGGAAGUAAAAGGCAAGUUAAAAAUCAUGAGGGUCUCCAUGGGAAAUUAUGCCUUUGUGAAGUCUUAGCAUUGAGUUGUACAUUUUAGGAGAAGUUGGGGAUUUUAAAAGAACGUUGGGGAUUUUUUGGAAAAGUUUGGGAUUUUAGAGAACGUUGGGGAUUUUAAGAGAUAUUGGGAGGUCAAAGCUUGCCUCAUGAGGGUCUUCAUGGGCAAUGAUGACUUUGUGCAAUUAAGUUGAACAUUUUAGGAAAAGUUAUGGAUUUUUAGAGAACGUUCUCUGAAAAUUCCUAACGUUCCCUAAAAAUCCCCAACUUCUUCUAAAAUGUCCAACUUAAUGUUUUGUUUUCCCAAGAGCAUCAUUUUCCAUGACGACCUUCAUGAUUUCUAAGUUUCUUUUAACAUCCUUAAUGUAUCCUUAAAAUCCUUAACGUUCUCUAAAAACUCCCAACGUUCCCUAAAAAUCUCCCA
This is a long non-coding RNA of Aedes albopictus (Asian tiger mosquito), 23826 nucleotides long. RefSeq lists it as uncharacterized. The transcript has 3 exons. The record is from RefSeq and is a predicted model, not a curated record. Lineage: Eukaryota; Metazoa; Arthropoda; Insecta; Diptera; Culicidae.